This is a long non-coding RNA of Rattus rattus (black rat), 499 nucleotides long. RefSeq lists it as uncharacterized. The transcript is spliced from 3 exons. Lineage: Eukaryota; Metazoa; Chordata; Mammalia; Rodentia; Muridae. The record is from RefSeq and is a predicted model, not a curated record.
GGUGCCAAGUGGUUAGAGUCGGGCAAGUCUCCCCACUCCCACACCCCAAAUCUGGGCCCCAUGUUUCAUGAAGUGAGGCCCCAGUUUAAUUCAUUUGCAGGAGAGAGAGAGAGAGAGAGAGAGAGAGAGAGAGAGAGAGAGAGAGAGAGAGAGAGAGAGAAGACCUUGGCUUCACACCCUACAGAGUCCUGUUUCAGUCCUGCAGCCAUGUGAGGAUCACCACUGGAUGUCAACAUGCAAGGGCUGCCCACUUCACUUUGAGGCCUUUGUACUAAUGGUGGCUGCACUCUGAGACUCUAGAGCAGUGCCUGGAAUGCAGUGGGUGACACCGUGCGCUGGUCAGUGGAUAUACAGGGCUUUAUCCAGAACAGGUUUUUCGAGACAGGAUUUCUCUAUGUACCCCUGAAUGUCCUGGAACUCAGUCUGUAGACCAGCUUGGCCUUGAUUUCAGAGUUCUGCCCAACCCUGCCUCCUGAGUGCUGGGAUUAAAGAUGUGUGC